GACAGAGGUCUCAAGCGUUAGGCGGAAUCACUGGGCUUAAAGCGCGUGUAGGCGGAUUCCUAAGUACCUUGUGAAAUCCCCGGGCUUAACCCGGGAACUGCUUGGUAUACUGGGUGUCUUGAGCCAACUAGGGGCGACCGGAACAAACGGUGGAGCGGUGAAAUGCGUAGAUAUCGUUUGGAACGCCAAUGGUGAAAACAGGUCGCUGGGGUUGUGCUGACGCUGAGACACGAAAGCCAGGGGAGCGAACGGG
This 253-nucleotide ribosomal RNA is filed under the name uncultured bacterium. RNAcentral's name for it is "partial 16S ribosomal RNA". It matches the Rfam family "Bacterial small subunit ribosomal RNA", at positions 524 to 776 of the family's 1533-position model. The record is from RNAcentral.